UACGUAGGGGGCUAGCGUUGUUCGGAUUCAUUGGGCGUAAAGGGUGCGUAGGCGGCGGGGUAAGUUUGAUGUGAAAUCCCGGGGCUCAACCCCGGAAUUGCAUUGAAUACUACCUUGCUAGAGUACCGGAGAGGAAACUGGAAUUUACGGUGUAGCAGUGAAAUGCGUAGAGAUCGUAAGGAAGACCAGUGGCGAAGGCGAGUUUCUGGACGGUAACUGACGCUGAGGCACGAAGGCCAGGGGAGCAAACGGG
RNAcentral lists this ribosomal RNA (253 nucleotides) under uncultured bacterium. RNAcentral's name for it is "partial 16S ribosomal RNA". It matches the Rfam family "Bacterial small subunit ribosomal RNA", at positions 524 to 776 of the family's 1533-position model. The record is from RNAcentral.